ACCUGGACUAUUCCAGGAAUAUGGUGCCUCAAAGCUGGACAGGCCCUGUGUUUAAUCAAGAUAAGAUCUUCUCCAACACUGUGCCAACUCAUGAUUCUCACAACUGGUGCUUGGAGAGAUCUGGACUAGAAAUCAGAGGACCUGUAACUUUGCCAGUCACUGCUAA
Molecule: non-coding RNA, 166 nt
Organism: Myotis lucifugus (little brown bat)
Lineage: Eukaryota; Metazoa; Chordata; Mammalia; Chiroptera; Vespertilionidae
Source: Rfam